This 1494-nucleotide long non-coding RNA is filed under the name Homo sapiens (human). Its description in RNAcentral is "RB1 divergent transcript". Lineage: Eukaryota; Metazoa; Chordata; Mammalia; Primates; Hominidae. The record is from RNAcentral.
GGCGUCUGUGGGGAACUGGGGCGCUGGUCGGUGCGCGGGCUGGGACGCUAAGUCAUGAGGAAUUAAACUGGGAAACCUGGCGUGGGUCCAGGCGCCUUCCAGGAGGCAUCCGGCGCGGCCCGGACGUGCUUCUACCCAGAACCACCCCCUCCAGGCCGGGGUGCACUUAACGGGGCUAUACAAAGAGUCUGGUGGGUGACUGUGGGCCUCAUCCCUAUCCCGGGGUCUGAUAGGGAAGACUCUCGGGCCCCGCAGGGAAUAUCUGGCUAGUGCACCCUCGGCGGGAGCGCCACUCUCCCUCCUUGGGCGGCGCCCCCCACCUCUCAUCCCGCCCAAUCCGUUUUGCAAAGUCGGCCAAAACAAAAACAAACUUGGAGCGCUGAUAGACACUGUUAUUGCCCAUCUGAACUCGUCAACUGAGAAGGAAAGAGAUGGUUUAUGCUGUGAAUAAAAUACAGUUGUGCUGUGAUGUAAAUCCCCUCAUCCUGGAGCAGCUGAGCAAGGUCUAAGGCAGGAAGAACCUUCAAGCAGGUCAUGGCUCAGCAGACUCCACUCCUUCCCGCCAUUGUGAAUAUUAUCAUCUUCAUCUUUUUAUACUGUACUACUUCUGCUACACUGACCUUCUCUCCAUGCCACCAAACCACACUCCUAAGUGCAGAGAAUAUGAUUGAUUCUCCUACUAUACCAAUUUCCAUGAGCAGGACCAAUUACAUAAUUUGCAGGGUCCAGAGGAAAAAAAAUGCAGAACUCCUCAUUGAAAAAUUACUAAGAAUUUCAAGAUGGUGGCAACAGAGCAUUAAACCAACCACAGGGUCUUUCUAACAUGGAGAACUAAGUGACUACACAGGCUACAUGUCCACGAAGCCAGACAGUCUCUGAAGUGCAGGCUCAACUCUGCCUGGCAGUGGCAAGGGCCAGGGCCAGUGACUGAAGCAACAAACUGCCAGAUGACUGCAGCUCAAGCCAAUGCACAAAGCCACUGCAACAAGAGAGGAAAUUCUUCCAUUUCCAAGUGUGUCGAUUUCUCCCCAUCAAGGAAAACAGCUAAGGCAAUGUGUUGAUAUUUUCUUUGACCAAGUCAUCAGGAGUCACAUAGACAUACAGCACUCAAGAAGUGGCUGUAACUAAAGGCACAUCUCGUUCAUCUACAACCCUUGUAAUCCCAACCUUUGUCUGAUGCACAAACCCUUCCCUAGUUCUCCCCACCACCACCACUGCACCUCCAAGUGGGGACAACGAAUUGUUUCAUUUGCAUGUGGUUUUUCUCAUGAAAAAUAUCAUUAACAUGAGACAGCCCCAAACCAAGGAAACCAGAAGUGGGGUUUGUGCUUGGUCUUACUGAGAGCUUUCCCUACUUGACCAGACCCCAGCAUUGUUCUAGAUUUGUCUCUUGUGGGCUACAGGAAUGCAAACAUUUUGUAGUUUCCUCUUUUUUGUUUUCUUAAUGGCUUGAUGAGCCACACAUGUUUCUCUAAAUGCAUGAUUUUAAAUUCA